GCCUGGGUGGCUCAGUUGGUUAGGCAUCUGACUUUGGCUCAGGUCAGGAUCUCACGGUUCGUGAGUUCAAGCCCCACAUCGGGCU
Transfer RNA from Felis catus (domestic cat), 85 nucleotides. It matches the Rfam family "tRNA". From Rfam's summary of the family: Transfer RNA (tRNA) molecules are approximately 80 nucleotides in length. Their secondary structure includes four short double-helical elements and three loops (D, anti-codon, and T loops). The record is from Rfam. NCBI's taxonomy places the organism in Eukaryota, Metazoa, Chordata, Mammalia, Carnivora, Felidae.